Long non-coding RNA from Gasterosteus aculeatus aculeatus (three-spined stickleback), 935 nucleotides. NCBI's taxonomy places the organism in Eukaryota, Metazoa, Chordata, Actinopteri, Perciformes, Gasterosteidae. The record is from Ensembl.
CUUUAAUUGUUAAAUAACUUUACCUAAAUAUAACCCUGAUAAUUACAGGUUGUUUGUUGAUAAUAACUAAGUAAUAUAGAGAAGUCAGAGUUUCACCCCUGAACGUGAAAUGAAGAGGAGCAGCUGAUGGGGGAGAGAUGGAGGGGAGAGAUGGAGGCAGGGGGAGAGAUGGAGGGGAGAGAUGGAGGCAGGGGGAGAGAUGGAGGGGAGAGAUGGAGGGGGAGAGAUGGAGGCAGGGGAGAGAUGGAGGGGAGAGAUGGAGGCAGGGGGGAGAGAUGGAGGGGGAGAGAUGGAGGCAGGGGGAGAGAUGGAGACACAGAGGGAGAAAGGGAGGAACUACUUUCUGCCUCCGCUGCCAGCUGACUGCAAACUACAAGUUCCCAGCGAGUUGUGGGUGUCCGGGCGCUGCCGUCAGCAAAGUGUCGGUUGAAGUAAACAAAAUGGAGGACUAGCUUAAUGCUAAAGUGGGAGACGUGAAUAAAGAGCUCCAUGGCGACGUUCAAAGAACCGUAAUGCGCCCCCACCCCUCCGCCUCUGUCCAUGGUGCUACCGUUACUACCCUCUGAUCCGCCCGGCACAAUGUCGACUUGUGUCUUCGCUCACAACAAAGAACACGCACACACAUUGCCGCCAUUUUGUUCACGUUGUAGUAAUUUGUGCGGUAAAAGUGAGGAGAAGUUGUUCGAGUUGACGACACAUUCAAUCACCAGCUGCCAUCUCUGCUCGCUCAUCAACUUUCCGAUCACAUCCUCCUCCCCCUCCUCCCGACGCCGGGCUCCCGUUGGUUCCCCGCGCUGCCCCUCAAUCAUCGCAGCUCUUGAUUGGCUCGGCUGGGACCAAUAGCGGCACGCCUGUGGGUAAAGGGGCGGGAGGAGGAGGCGGGGGUCAGAGUGACAGACAGGGCGAAAGAGGCUGGAUAUCUGGGAAGAAAACGG